Long non-coding RNA from Camarhynchus parvulus, 217 nucleotides. RefSeq lists it as uncharacterized. The record is from RefSeq and is a predicted model, not a curated record. The transcript is spliced from 3 exons. Lineage: Eukaryota; Metazoa; Chordata; Aves; Passeriformes; Thraupidae.
GGCCCCUCGGGCAAGGAGGGGAUCCCCGGGCACCCCGGGCAGAGAGGAGACGCCGGUUUCCAAGGCAAGCCGGGUCCCCCCGGCCCCCCAGGUGUGGUCGGAGCUCAGGGUCCCUGGGGGGAGUCGGGCCCCGCUGGCGAUCGGGGUCACCCCGGCCCCCCCGGGCCCCCCGGGGAGCAGGGACUGCCCGGCGGCGCCGGCAGCGGCGGGAGCAAGG